AUACGUAGGUGACAAGCGUUAUCCGGAUUUACUGGGCGUAAAGGGCGUGUAGGCGGUCUUGCAAGUCAGAAGUGAAAUUCCUGAGCUCAACUCGGGCGCUGCUUCUGAAACUGCAGGACUUGAGUGCUGGAGGGGAUAGCGGAAUUCCUAGUGGAGCGGUAAAAUGCGCAGAUAUUAGGAAGAACACCGGUGGCGAAGGCGGCUAUCUGGACAGUAACUGACGCUGAGGCGCGAAAGCGUGGGGAGCAAACAGGAUUAGAUACCCUGGUAGUCCACGCCGUAAACGAUGAGUACUAGGUGUAGGGGGUAUCGACUCCCUCUGUGCCGCAGUUAACACAAUAAGUAUCCCGCCUGGGGAGUACGGCCGCAAGGUUGAAACUUAAAGGAAUUGACGGGG
This 397-nucleotide ribosomal RNA is filed under the name uncultured bacterium. Its description in RNAcentral is "partial 16S ribosomal RNA". It matches the Rfam family "Bacterial small subunit ribosomal RNA", at positions 523 to 918 of the family's 1533-position model. The record is from RNAcentral.